RNAcentral lists this ribosomal RNA (1372 nucleotides) under uncultured bacterium. Its description in RNAcentral is "bacterial SSU rRNA". It matches the Rfam family "Bacterial small subunit ribosomal RNA", at positions 28 to 1381 of the family's 1533-position model. The record is from RNAcentral.
GAUAAACGCUGGCGGCGUGCCUAAUACAUGCAAGUCGAGCGAACGGACGAGAAGCUUGCUUCUCUGAUGUUAGCGGCGGACGGGUGAGUAACACGUGGAUAACCUACCUAUAAGACUGGGAUAACUUCGGGAAACCGGAGCUAAUACCGGAUAAUAUUUUGAACCGCAUGGUUCAAAAGUGAAAGACGGUCUUGCUGUCACUUAUAGAUGGACCCGCGCUGCAUUAGCUAGUUGGUAAGGUAACGGCUUACCAAGGCAACGAUGCAUAGCCGACCUGAGAGGGUGAUCGGCCACACUGGAACUGAGACACGGUCCAGACUCCUACGGGAGGCAGCAGUAGGGAAUCUUCCGCAAUGGGCGAAAGCCUGACGGAGCAACGCCGCGUGAGUGAUGAAGGUCUUCGGAUCGUAAAACUCUGUUAUUAGGGAAGAACAUAUGUGUAAGUAACUGUGCACAUCUUGACGGUACCUAAUCAGAAAGCCACGGCUAACUACGUGCCAGCAGCCGCGGUAAUACGUAGGUGGCAAGCGUUAUCCGGAAUUAUUGGGCGUAAAGCGCGCGUAGGCGGUUUUUUAAGUCUGAUGUGAAAGCCCACGGCUCAACCGUGGAGGGUCAUUGGAAACUGGAAAACUUGAGUGCAGAAGAGGAAAGUGGAAUUCCAUGUGUAGCGGUGAAAUGCGCAGAGAUAUGGAGGAACACCAGUGGCGAAGGCGACUUUCUGGUCUGUAACUGACGCUGAUGUGCGAAAGCGUGGGGAUCAAACAGGAUUAGAUACCCUGGUAGUCCACGCCGUAAACGAUGAGUGCUAAGUGUUAGGGGGUUUCCGCCCCUUAGUGCUGCAGCUAACGCAUUAAGCACUCCGCCUGGGGAGUACGACCGCAAGGUUGAAACUCAAAGGAAUUGACGGGGACCCGCACAAGCGGUGGAGCAUGUGGUUUAAUUCGAAGCAACGCGAAGAACCUUACCAAAUCUUGACAUCCUUUGACAACUCUAGAGAUAGAGCCUUCCCCUUCGGGGGACAAAGUGACAGGUGGUGCAUGGUUGUCGUCAGCUCGUGUCGUGAGAUGUUGGGUUAAGUCCCGCAACGAGCGCAACCCUUAAGCUUAGUUGCCAUCAUUAAGUUGGGCACUCUAAGUUGACUGCCGGUGACAAACCGGAGGAAGGUGGGGAUGACGUCAAAUCAUCAUGCCCCUUAUGAUUUGGGCUACACACGUGCUACAAUGGACAAUACAAAGGGCAGCGAAACCGCGAGGUCAAGCAAAUCCCAUAAAGUUGUUCUCAGUUCGAAUUGUAGUCUGCAACUCGACUACAUGAAGCUGGAAUCGCUAGUAAUCGUAGAUCAGCAUGCUACGGUGAAUACGUUCCCGGGUCU